GAGCCGUGGCACUGUCAAGUCAUCAGACGCGGUGAUUGCGAGGCCUGUGGGAAAGUACAAAAGCCUGGGCUGGAUUGCCCCUCUCAUCGAGCCCGCCUGUGUGGCACCUGUUUCUUAUCACCCCACUAAGUUCCCGCCUCACAGGGUAGUCUGCCUAGCUAUUAAUCCUAUAUAUAGCCAGUGCCUCCACCCCCAAGAGAGAGAGAGACUGAAGCACAAAAGGAGCCGCGGGGAGCGGACCGGUAGAGGCUUCGGGGCAGACUGAAGCACGGAAGGAGCCGCGGAGAGCGGACCGGUAGAGGCUUCGGGGCAGACUGUAUAAGGAGAGAAUAAAGAAAAGCCUGACCACCGCCAGACCUUGUCGUGUGUCUUUCCUGCCGGCCGGGAGCGGACAUCGACAUUUGGAGGCCCGCACGGGGAUUGAUCAACCCCGAGACGCGGCGGUGGACUGCAUUCUCCUACACAGUGCUGCAGCUGCAGGACAGGAAUCGGGACGAGAGCCAAUGUGGGUCCCAGAGAGGUUGACGCGACAAGUCCCUCGACUGAAGAUCAGGCCUGUUCCACCAGAGGCCAACCGCAGACCCAACAACAAGAUGAGCCCUAAAAGAACUGCAGGACAAUCCCUUUUUGGGGGCCUGGAACGGCUUGCUCCCCUAUGUGCUACCCUUGUAUACGCAUGGCUCGCUCGCAUGGCCUACGACCGCGUUUAAAAGUGACAGGCUUCCCACAUUCUCCUCCCUAGACAACAACAUGUAGCAGGGUGGGUGAGUCAAUGACGGGUAAGAGCGUGCCUCCCCAGCACGACUCAACCUAAGCCAGGCCCUACCCCGUUCCGCUCGAAAGCCGCUGGAUUGUUAGAUAAAUUUCUCUCCGAGGGGAUUCGUGGAGAGAAAUGAGUGCAUGCCUAUGUGCAACCAGGUUCCGUCCGGUUCAUUCCUGGCCCUAGAAAAAAGGACGAGGGCCUCAGGGCCUUGGUGGACCCUGGGACGGCCGACCAGGGUCUACGCUAAGGGCCUACGGUGGGCCUCAGUUCGGGGCAUAGGCCUCUGCACUCUAUCCAGGACGGGCUGCGAUGCGCGUAGCCAUCAUUUAAAAUAAAAUAGGGGGAGAUGUUGGGAGCCGUGGCACUGUCAAGUCAUCAGACGCGGUGAUUGCGAGGCCUGUGGGAAAGUACAAAAGCCUGGGCUGGAUUGCCCCUCUCAUCGAGCCCGCCUGUGUGGCACCUGUUUCUUAUCACCCCACUAAGUUCCCGCCUCACAGGGUAGUCUGCCUAGCUAUUAAUCCUAUAUAUAGCCAGUGCCUCCACCCCCGAGAGAGAGAGAGACUGAAGCACAAAAGGAGCCGCGGGGAGCGGACCGGUAGAGGCUUCGGGGCAGACUGAAGCACGGAAGGAGCCGCGGAGAGCGGACCGGUAGAGGCUUCGGGGCAGACUGUAUAAGGAGAGAAUAAAGAAAAGCCUGACCACCGCCA
This is a long non-coding RNA of Cavia porcellus (domestic guinea pig), 1470 nucleotides long. RefSeq lists it as uncharacterized. Lineage: Eukaryota; Metazoa; Chordata; Mammalia; Rodentia; Caviidae. The transcript has 2 exons. The record is from RefSeq and is a predicted model, not a curated record.